This 427-nucleotide ribosomal RNA is filed under the name uncultured bacterium. RNAcentral describes it as "partial 16S ribosomal RNA". It matches the Rfam family "Bacterial small subunit ribosomal RNA", at positions 355 to 774 of the family's 1533-position model. The record is from RNAcentral.
UGGGGAAUAUUGCACAAUGGGCGCAAGCCUGAUGCAGCCAUGCCGCGUGUAUGAAGAAGGCCUUCGGGUUGUAAAGUACUUUCAGCGGGGAGGAAGGCGAUAAGGUUAAUAACCUUGUCGAUUGACGUUACCCGCAGAAGAAGCACCGGCUAACUCCGUGCCAGCAGCCGCGGUAAUACGGAGGGUGCAAGCGUUAAUCGGAAUUACUGGGCGUAAAGCGCACGCAGGCUGUGUGUCAAGUCGGAUGUGAAAUCCCCGGGCUCAACCUGGGAACUGCAUUCGAAACUGGCAGGCUAGAGUCUUGUAGAGGGGGGUAGAAUUCCAGGUGUAGCGGUGAAAUGCGUAGAGAUCUGGAGGAAUACCGGUGGCGAAGGCGGCCCCCUGGACAAAGACUGACGCUCAGGUGCGAAAGCGUGGGGAGCAAACA